Molecule: ribosomal RNA, 332 nt
Filed under: Virilastacus rucapihuelensis
Lineage: Eukaryota; Metazoa; Arthropoda; Malacostraca; Decapoda; Parastacidae
Description: partial 12S ribosomal RNA
Source: RNAcentral
UCUUGAAAUUCAAAGAAUUUGGCGGUAUUUUAGUCUAGUUAGAGGAACCUGUUUUGUAAACGAUACUACACGUAAUAUCUUACUUAUUUUUAUUCAGUUUGUAUACCGUCAUUAUCAGAUAACUUUGACAGAUAGGAGUUAUUGGGACUAAAAUAUUAAGUAAAUUAGAUCAAGGUGCAGCUUAUGAGUAAGGAGGAAUGGGUUACAAUAAAAUUUAUUUACAACGGAUUAAUUUUCGAAGGAGGGUUAUUAAAGGUGGAUUUAAUUGUAAUUAUUGUUUAAUAAGUUAUAAUGAUAUAAGAACUAAAUUAUGUACAUAUCGCCCGUCGCUA